This is a long non-coding RNA of Bos taurus (domestic cattle), 494 nucleotides long. NCBI's taxonomy places the organism in Eukaryota, Metazoa, Chordata, Mammalia, Artiodactyla, Bovidae. The record is from Ensembl.
CUUCCAGGGCUGUGUUGUGGGCAAGGAACCCAGCCCUGAGAGAGAAAGGGAGAGGCUGAAGUUUCUGUGCUAGGAGCUUCCUGCAGUCCCAAAGCCAGGUGUUUACCUGCGGCAGAGACCUGAGUUCCUGGAGCCCUUCAGCAAGGGGCCAGGGCCUCUGGAGACCAUCUAAGUCUCCAUGAAGCCUCCGAGGGGAGAUAAGCUCCAGCAGGGCGGCCGCCUUCCUCUGGGCCUGGGGCAGCACGCAGAGGAGCUGCUGAGUGGACGGGUUGGUUACCCACCAACACGUGGUCGUAGAGAAGCACAGCAUCAGAGGAGAAGGGACGCCAGAGGUCACCAGCCAGCAGCUUUGGGACAAGCCUAAGGCCCGAAGUGUCCUUAGCCCUCACUCCCAGUUAUCCACCCUCACUACUCAAGCUGCUGGUCCUGAGCCUGGGAGCUUAUAAGAAAUGCAAAGGCCCAGCACCUUGGAAUGGUCUGUUGCAGGCAGGGGC